AUAAUAAUAAUAAUAAUAAUAAUAAUAAUAAUAUCCGCAUUUGCCGCUUAAUAGCAAAGCUAUUCAACACUAUUUAUGGAUACUAAAGACCGUCACUUAAGGUAAUCAGCCUUUAGUUCAAAUAUCUAUGCGGUGAUUUAUAACAAUAAAUUUAAUUAGGGCCGGGUAGUAAUAACCUGUGUUUAAAAACCACUAAAAUAAUUAUGAUAGGAAACAAUUUACUGAACGUUGUGCAUUGAGUUAACCUAUAUGGUUAAAUGAUCGUAUGUAAGUAGCAUACAGAGCGAAAAACCGCAGAAAUAAAAUUAAGCAAAGUCAUGUCAAACUCUCUACCCUUAGAGGCUUAACUUAGCCUACUUGCUCAAACCAUCAAGUUUGCAUGGCAACACCUCAUAUUUGGAAGUAAGUCACACUACCUGGCUGUUUAGAAAAAAACGACAUUUUAAACAUCGACCUUUGUAUUUAAUGAGAUGGUCUUUAUUUAUGCGAUUUAACUGUUUGCAGUUUGAAUCGUCAUAGCAUUUUAAACACUAGUUUUGCCUUGACGUUCACCUAAAAUAGUAACUACACUCAAGAGUGCCGAAAUCUGCACGGCAACAAACCGCCAUGAUCGCAUUUGCUGAGCGCCCUAGUAACUGGCGCACGCAGUUCCCGUCCAAUAAAAGAGCGCGUGUCUCGGUCACCCCGCGCGCACUGCCGUUAAACAGCGUCAGUAGUUUCACGGGAUUCCCUGACAGCUGAAACAGUUUAGGCGACCGUUACGUUUAAACGGCCUCUGGGGUUACGCGCAAACAGAUGUCAAGGUAAACGGACCAAAAGACGGCACAGUUUGACACGGCAGUCUCUGAAGUGGCUGCCUCAACGUGCUGGCCUUGUGAUGUUCCACUUCUACAAUUCAAGCAUCCCGAUCAUUAUUUUACAAAAUUUACUCGACCUUUGUUUAACGAGUCACAGAUGGUGACCGUUUGUCUUUCGGUAGCUUGUCUGUGAGGUUAACAGGAAUCGGAUUAAUAAGAGCAAGCACCUGUUGAGGGUAGGCUGCUGUAAAGUCCAGAUCAAGAGUUUGUAUAAGGAGCAAGGCCAGUGUGUAUUCAUUUGUCAAGUCGGAGUACAAAUUUUCACAAUGUCCUGGCUCAAGACGAAUCUCUCCAAAUACCAGAUGAGACGGAUCCUGAGUUUAAAGGUUUAAAUGGAAACGUGUCCGCAGACUGGCUCGCUACGACCUAUACUAUCUGAAAACUUAAAUCAAUUGCUUUAAGUUAUUGACACGGCUGGACAGCUACGCGAAACUGAAUUUUUUACUAGUUCUUAUGUUUUGAAACGUCUUCCAUCCGACAAAUAAAUUGAAGAAUUUAGACCUA
Electrophorus electricus (electric eel) is the source of this 1361-nucleotide long non-coding RNA. RefSeq lists it as uncharacterized. The record is from RefSeq and is a predicted model, not a curated record. Lineage: Eukaryota; Metazoa; Chordata; Actinopteri; Gymnotiformes; Gymnotidae.